AAAGUCGUAACAAGGUAACCGUAGGUGAACCUGCGGUUGGAUCAUUAACAACGAAAGGUUAGAGGUAGAGAGAAUGCCCCCGUGCAGAAAAUGCACCAAGGGGGCGGGAGAGUUGGGAAACUGCCCAAGCGCAUCCCUGGUCAGUUGGCGGGGAUUGUUGAUCCGUCAACUGUUGGUUCUCCCACCUGUUGUGGUCUUUUUUUUUUUUUUUUUUUCGUCGCGUGAAAACCGAAGAAACAACUUUUGGCAACGGAUCUCUUGGCUCUC
Molecule: unclassified non-coding RNA, 267 nt
Filed under: Chytridiomycota sp.
Lineage: Eukaryota; Fungi; Chytridiomycota
Description: partial contains small subunit ribosomal RNA, internal transcribed spacer 1, and 5.8S ribosomal RNA
Rfam family: Eukaryotic small subunit ribosomal RNA (bases 1-47)
Source: RNAcentral